GCCAGACUCCUACGGGAGGCAGCAGUGGGGAAUAUUGCACAAUGGGGGAAACCCUGAUGCAGCGACGCCGCGUGAGUGAAGAAGUAAUUCGUUAUGUAAAGCUCUAUCAGCAGGGAAGAAAAUGACGGUACCUGAGUAAGAAGCCCCGGCUAACUACGUGCCAGCAGCCGCGGUAAUACGUAGGUGGCGAGCGUUGUCCGGAAUUACUGGGUGUAAAGGGAGCGUAGGCGGGAGAGCAAGUCGACUGUGAAAUCUAUGGGCUUAACCCAUAGCUGCGAUCGAAACUGUUCAUCUUGAGUGAAGUAGAGGCAGGCGGAAUUCCUAGUGUAGCGGUGAAAUGCGUAGAUAUUAGGAAGAACACCAGUGGCGAAGGCGGCUUUCUGGACUGAAACUGACGCUGAGGCACGAAAGCGUGGGGAGCGAACAGGAUUAGAUACCCGUGUAGUU
This 447-nucleotide ribosomal RNA is filed under the name uncultured bacterium. RNAcentral's name for it is "bacterial SSU rRNA". It matches the Rfam family "Bacterial small subunit ribosomal RNA", at positions 330 to 795 of the family's 1533-position model. The record is from RNAcentral.